Theobroma umbraticum is the source of this 2386-nucleotide long non-coding RNA. RefSeq lists it as uncharacterized. NCBI's taxonomy places the organism in Eukaryota, Viridiplantae, Streptophyta, Magnoliopsida, Malvales, Malvaceae. The record is from RefSeq and is a predicted model, not a curated record.
UGUGCCGUGUUUUACAGAUGUAGUCCAGACAAUAUGAGGAUCUUGACAAUAGCCUUAUUGUGCCAAGAGAGAAGUGGGCGUUCAAUGUCUCUAUUAACACCCAUUGUAAGUGGUCGUAACUGCAUUACAUCAGCAAAACUCUCUAAGAGAAAGGGGAGUAUGAUGCAAUGAAGCGAACGUGCUUCAGAAUGCUGUUGGACGUAUAUCCGCAAGGUUACUUUUUCGCUGGACUCCUGCAUAACAUCAUGAUUCGUCGAAUCAGUGAAAGAGAUUCAAUUGAGCAUAAGCUAUGAUUUUCCAUUGGCAAGAGCAAGGCACGUAGAUCGAAGUAGGAGUUUUUCUUUAUCACGGGACUAAAGUUCGAUCGAAUGCCCGAUGUAUUCAGUCGACCGUACAAGGUUGGUGCGGACAAAAUUCAUGUGAGAUACUAGAAUGGGCAGGAGAGCAUUAAGCUGCAGUGGUUGCUUCAAACGUUCUGCGAUGGCAACUUUUAGUGACCAGGAGAUGCAACCAAGAUGGCACUAAUCUUGAUCCCGAAAAACAUUUUAUUUGGUCAAGACUAUUGUAGACGGGUGACGCCUUGGCUGUUCUCAUUGGUGGAGGACAUCGAUGCUUGGAAUGUCUUCCUAUGGGGUCACUAUGUUUGGAGGCUGAAGUUGGAUUACCUUUUGAAGGGGUUCGAAGUCCUUGCCACAAACUCUCAAAAGGAUACUCGUUUAUGGUACAACAUUUACAAAUUUGUGUGGGUGAUUCAAGUAUUGUCACAUAACAUUUAACAUUUUCCUUUUGACAUAAUAAUAUGGUUGUACUCGUUUAGCAUUUACGGUUUGAUAAUGGUUACUUUUGACAUGCAAUUCUGGGCAAUGGAGGCAAUCCCGGCCUUGCAACAAAUAGUUACCCCAUCUGCUCUGAAGGACAACGUCUACCCACGUAUGUGCAAAUAACAGUGCAAUCAGAAGCUAAAAGACUUCUACAAGACAGUUCAGAAGUUGAAGUCAUCUGAGCAUGUGAGUGAACAACUACUAAUUUUUGCUAUGAAUUUGUAAACUAAUUUUUUAUAAAAUUUAAUCAAAAAUCGUAUUUUACUGUUUUGGGCUGUCGAGACAUUGGAGCAGACCCCGGAGGAGGUCAGACGGGACUAUUUUGUUGACAUCGAUAUGCCAUUAUUUGAGGGCCACCAAUACUUGUCAAUCGGGCAGUUGGAUGAUCGAACGGAAUGUGGCUUAAGUGUGAAGGAAAAUAGAAGGAACUUGAGGUAGAAAAGAGCUACUAGUGCCAUGACGCGAAGGCGAACCGCCAUGCUGAAGUUGAUGAGCUGUCGCGCAUCGAGUUGAUAGAAGAAAGGGAUGACCAUGGCAAUGGUAGUGAAUAGCCAUUGGACGAUGCAACGAUAGCCCCACAACCACUGAAAGUUCCUCCUCAUAUGCAUAGUGGUAACGAGCUGUCGAGGUGACGACAGCUCUUGAAUGACCGAGCGGUACAGCUCAACUGUACAGUCUGAACUAGCCUCCGUUAACCCAUGCGAGAAGAGUCAAUGACAGAGUAAUCACGAUACGUGAGCUGUGACGGGUCAUGCGCAAGCAUGAAAAAGAGAUGUUGGAGCUAAAGGAGUCAAUUCAGUCAUUGACUCUCGCAAUACAGACGAUAGAGGAUCGUAUCGUUCGUCGAAUUCUAGAUGGCUUGAAAUUACAAGUGGUGCUUCAUCUAACGUUGAUGGUGAUGACCACGGUGGUGCUGAUGAUCAACAGCAUGAUGAACCUGGUGUUCACAUGCACCAUGACAUUGUUGUUGAUGAUAGAGAGAAUGUUGCUGCGAUCGAUUCGAAUAUUGAUGCAUCUACAGGAUGAGAGGGGGACCAUCACUCAGUUGUGGCUGAAGGGGACCAUCUUCCUAAAGUUGAUGUAGCAGUCGAGGCAAUAGUUGAAGGGGAUGGGAACCUUGCAUUAGUUGAGGCUGAAGGGGACCGUUUUCAUCACAUGACUCAUGAAGGCAGCACCUCACGAGUGUCGUCACUAGAUGUGUCUAGUGUCAAUCAUCGGGUAGCACUGAUUUCAGACCCAACUAAACAAGCACAGGUGAGAAUGGCCAGCAAAUACAUGGCAAGCCCGUAUGUGGACCCGCCAGUGAGCCGGCGGGAUGUUAAGACGUCAAUGGUGGAAGGGUACGAAGCUUUUAAGAGAAACGAGUGUGUGAGGCGUAACGUCGGAAUCAUGGGGGAUCAAUGGGCUGAUAUUUUUAGAACAUUAGAGGACCCUAAAGAGGAAAUGACAACUGAACAAAUAGAUGCAUGCCUCAGUGUACUUUGUAAGCGGAUGACAGGACCAAAGUCAAGACUAUACAGCACCCAUCCAUAGCUCGUUGAUAUGAUAUUCUUCAUAAGUUUAUU